ACAAACUUGGUCAUUUAGAGGAAGUAAAAGUCGUAACAAGGUUUCCGUAGGUGAACCUGCGGAAGGAUCAUUAACAAAUCAUCAAAAACAACCAUGUGUCAAUGUCUUCUCUUUCCCUUGUUGGCGUGAAGUGAGUAGUAGUUGUUGGAGAGAUGUCGAGGCCAGUAAUAUAUAGAGAUUAUGUAUUAUUCAUUCUUCAUCUCUUCUCUUCUCUCUCUCUCCCUUACACUCAAGGGAAACGAUUGUUUAUUUAAUGACUAUCAACAUGACAGCCUUAGAUCAUUAUUAUUAAAAAUUUAAACAACUUUUAACAAUGGAUCUCUUGGCUCUUGCAUCGAUGAAGAACGCAGC
Molecule: unclassified non-coding RNA, 351 nt
Filed under: uncultured fungus
Lineage: Eukaryota; Fungi
Description: partial contains small subunit ribosomal RNA, internal transcribed spacer 1, and 5.8S ribosomal RNA
Rfam family: Eukaryotic small subunit ribosomal RNA (bases 1-73)
Source: RNAcentral